UACGCCGAGGCGGGCGGCAAGAUCUACGUCGAGACGGCGGCGGCGUCUGCCGCAGUGGCCUCCUCCCUCUUGCCCCUCUCGGAUCCGCGACGGACAGGUCAAGGUAGCCCGUGCGACCUCGCCUCCCAAUCGCGUGGCUGGCCGCUCUACCUCACCCCGGUGGCCUUCCUCCCUUAUCUUUCAAAUUCCCGUGCCAGAUCGAGAUGCGAAAUCUCCCGUCACCGGCCAUUCUUCAUGGUUAUUGGAUGAUGUCCUGAUUGAGUUAGGAUGAACUCAGAUGAUGCAAUUUGUAGCGGGGAGACUACUUUGCUUCUUCUUUUCACGUUAGUGUUUUGGUCCGUCACCUGUGUUCGUUUUCCUGUUUCAAUCGAGCAUCCACUGGUGCCUGCUCAGGCUAGGAAAGAAAAGAUGCAUUUCGUUGGUCGAGGAUGUGUCAUCCUAGAGCUAUCAAUGGAAAAUUCUGGAAAGCUUGCAUUGCAUAUAUCUGGGAAUACAUGGACAAGACACGACAAAAUAUAUAUGAGCUGAACUUUAUUGUUGUAGACCAUGAGAUUCGGCUCGGGUCUGUUAGGUAUAGCACUGUUUUAUCUCGGCGUGGUGCACUCUUCCCGUUGAGAGAAGUAUUAUAAAUAUUGGCAAGUCUGAGUAAAGAUCUAAUGCUCUUCAAGGUCAAGUGUAAAGACAUGUCGUUUCAUUCAUGUCGAUUUAUUUUCUGUAAUACUAUUGCCAAUGAAUUCUAGCUUUCAAUUUGUUGCCUGACCACUUGCUAGCAAAUUAGUUUUCAUUCACGGGAAAUGUACACUUAGGCUUAAACUGGUGUUCUAGAGAAACAGGAGGAAGGCUGAGUACUAGCCAAUCAAAUAGACCAGUUGAGAGAACAGCUGAAACAGGGCUCGAUCUAGAGAUUUGAAUCUUUUGUGUUCCAGAACCUGAACACUUUUCUCUAUUCACGUAUAGCGCAAAACUUCAUUGUUAAUGAAUACAGCCCGCACAUCUGUAUUUUA
Long non-coding RNA from Lolium rigidum, 1004 nucleotides. RefSeq lists it as uncharacterized. NCBI's taxonomy places the organism in Eukaryota, Viridiplantae, Streptophyta, Magnoliopsida, Poales, Poaceae. The transcript is spliced from 4 exons. The record is from RefSeq and is a predicted model, not a curated record.